GACGACGCGUGGCGGCGUGGAGUUAGGCAUGCAAGUCGAACGGUAUCAUCCUUUCGGGGGUGAGAGAGUGGCGAACUGGUGAGUAACACGUAGGUUAUCUACCUCAAGACGGGACAACCCAGGGAAACUUGGGCUAAUACCGGAUGUGAGCAACUUUUAGUUGUUUGAAAGGUGGCGUAAGCUGUCGCUUGGGGAUGAGCCUGCGUCCUAUUAGUUAGUUGGUGAGGUAACGGCUCACCUAGGCAAUGAUAGGUAGGCGGCCUUAACGGGUGGUCGCCCACACUGGGAUUGAGAUACGGCCCAGACUCCUACGGGAGGCAGCAGUCGAGAAUAGUCUACAAUGGUCGGAAGACUGAUAGUGCGACGCCGCGUGAACGAUGAAUCCCUUCGGGGUGUAAAGUUCUUUUAUAUGUGAGCAGUGCUUCUUAUAUUAACAGUAUGGGGAGAGAGAUAUUAGCAUAUGAAUAAGCAACGGCUAACUCCGUG
Molecule: ribosomal RNA, 486 nt
Filed under: uncultured bacterium
Lineage: Bacteria
Description: bacterial SSU rRNA
Rfam family: Bacterial small subunit ribosomal RNA
Source: RNAcentral